UACGUAGGGUGCAAGCGUUGUCCUGAAUUAUUGGGCGUAAAGAGCUCGUAGGCGGUUUGUUGCGUCGGCUGUGAAAUCCCGAGGCUCAACCUCGGGUCUGCAGUCGAUACGAGCAAACUAGAGUGUUGCAGGGGAGACUGGAAUUCCUGGUGUAGCGGUGAAAUGCGCAGAUAUCAGGAGGAACACCGGUGGCGAAGGCGGGUCUCUGGGCAACAACUGACGCUGAGGAGCGAAAGCGUGGGGAGCGAACAGG
Molecule: ribosomal RNA, 253 nt
Filed under: uncultured bacterium
Lineage: Bacteria
Description: partial 16S ribosomal RNA
Rfam family: Bacterial small subunit ribosomal RNA
Source: RNAcentral